This is a long non-coding RNA of Humulus lupulus (European hop), 701 nucleotides long. RefSeq lists it as uncharacterized. The transcript is spliced from 2 exons. NCBI's taxonomy places the organism in Eukaryota, Viridiplantae, Streptophyta, Magnoliopsida, Rosales, Cannabaceae. The record is from RefSeq and is a predicted model, not a curated record.
UUUCUCAUCCUAUUCCUCUCAGCCACACCCUUUUCUCAUUCUUACCUCUCAAUCUCCCUCUCCCUCACAUCUAACCUUUCAAUAUCCCUCACAUCUAACCUCUCAGCUCCUUCUCUCUCUCUCUCUCUCUCUCUCUCUCUCUCUCUUUGUCCCACCCUUUUCUCUUGCAGGUGGCUGGCGCGGGAGGCUCGAUGGAGACUGCGACGGGGCUCUACGCGAACCAGACCCCAAAACUUCAGGCGAGCUUUCUCCCUGACGUAAACCUGACCCCAAAAGCUUUAGGCCACCCUUCUCCCCACGCGAACUAGGCCCCAAAAGCUUCAGUCCAUCCUUCUCUUUGCGUGAACUAGACUCAUUCAGGCCACCCUUUAACAACAAAACUGCCCGAGUGACAUGAACAAAACCAUCGACGCCGAGCCUUGAGCGACCGAGAGAGAUUCUAGGUAAAGGGAAAGAAAAGCUCACCCAGCCUAACGUGGAGAACUUAGGUGGCGAUGUGUACAUAUGCGGCCGCUUGACCACCACGGCCAAGGUGUUUCUCAGAGUAACUUGGGGUUAACCCUAUUUUUGCCGCUUAGGUCAGCGAGUUGUAACUUUUGUACUGUAAUGACAUUUUGGAUUGUAAAUAGCUUGUAAACAUUUUUAUGGGCCCAUGUACAGUUUUAUGUUUUAAAUAAAAUAUAUCAUUUCCUUUUGAUCGA